GACGAACGCUGGCGGCGUGCCUAAUACAUGCAAGUAGAACGCACAGUUUAUACCGUAGCUUGCUACACCAUAAACUGUGAGUUGCGAACGGGUGAGUAACGCGUAGGUAACCUGCCUGGUAGCGGGGGAUAACUAUUGGAAACGAUAGCUAAUACCGCAUAAUAUUGAUUAUUGCAUGAUAAUUGAUUGAAAGAUGCUAUUGCAUCACUACCAGAUGGACCUGCGUUGUAUUAGCUAGUAGGUGAGGUAACGGCUCACCUAGGCGACGAUACAUAGCCGACCUGAGAGGGUGAUCGGCCACACUGGGACUGAGACACGGCCCAGACUCCUACGGGAAGCAGCAGUAGGGAAUCUUCGGCAAUGGACGAAAGUCUGACCGAGCAACGCCGCGUGAGUGAAGAAGGUUUUCGGAUCGUAAAGCUCUGUUGUAAGAGAAGAACGGGUGUGAGAGUGGAAAGUUCACACUGUGACGGUAUCUUACCAGAAAGGGACGGCUAACUACGUG
RNAcentral lists this ribosomal RNA (505 nucleotides) under uncultured bacterium. RNAcentral describes it as "partial 16S ribosomal RNA". It matches the Rfam family "Bacterial small subunit ribosomal RNA", at positions 28 to 507 of the family's 1533-position model. The record is from RNAcentral.